AUUAGAUGAGCCUAUAUUAGAUUAGCUAGUUGGUGGAGUAAUAGCCUACCAAGGCAAUGAUCUAUAGCUGAUCUGAGAGGAUGAUCAGCCACACUGGAACUGAGAUACGGUCCAGACUCCUACGGGAGGCAGCAGUGGGGAAUAUUGGACAAUGGGCGAAAGCCUGAUCCAGCCAUGCCGCAUGAGUGAAGAAGGCCUUUGGGUUGUAAAGCUCUUUUAGUGAGGAAGAUAAUGACGGUACUCACAGAAGAAGUCCUGGCUAACUCCGUGCCAGCAGCCGCGGUAAUACGGAGAGGGCUAGCGUUAUUCGGAAUUAUUGGGCGUAAAGGGCGCGUAGGCUGAUUAAUAAGUUAAAAGUGAAAUCCCGAGGCUUAACCUUGGAAUUGCUUUUAAAACUAUUAAUCUAGAGAUUGAAAGAGGAUAGAGGAAUUCCUGAUGUAGAGGUAAAAUUCGUAAAUAUUAGGAGGAACACCAGUGGCGAAGGCGUCUAUCUGGUUCAAAUCUGACGCUGAAGCGCGAAGGCGUGGGGAGCAAACAGGAUUAGAUACCCUGGUAGUCCACGCUGUAAACGAUGAAUGUUAAAUAUGGGAAGUUUAC
This 597-nucleotide ribosomal RNA is filed under the name Wolbachia endosymbiont of Bemisia tabaci. RNAcentral describes it as "bacterial SSU rRNA". It matches the Rfam family "Bacterial small subunit ribosomal RNA", at positions 220 to 834 of the family's 1533-position model. The record is from RNAcentral. Lineage: Bacteria; Pseudomonadati; Pseudomonadota; Alphaproteobacteria; Rickettsiales; Anaplasmataceae.